Molecule: long non-coding RNA, 371 nt
Organism: Chenopodium quinoa (quinoa)
Lineage: Eukaryota; Viridiplantae; Streptophyta; Magnoliopsida; Caryophyllales; Amaranthaceae
Exons: 2
Source: RefSeq, a predicted model, not a curated record
AAUCAGUCGUUUAGGCUCUCUCCUCCUCCUCCUUUCUCUCUUCAACUCUAAACUCUUGAAAGUUGAAACCUCCAAUCCAAAUAAAUUAUUCUCGGUUUUUCCCAUCCUUAGAUCUUCCUCUCCUUCAUAAUUUAAGUGUUUAAAGAUUCACCACUUCAACCUUCAAGAUUUGGAUCCUUACACGCCACAAACAUAGCCUCUGCUUCAGCUUGCUUCAAGUCUCUGCUUCAACUUGCUUCAGCUUGCUUCAACAUUGUACAUUAUUUGAGAACUAUGUUGUAUAAAGUUUGUAAAAAUAAAAAAUAAAAAACAUUGAUUGAUUUUGAAUUCUGAUUUGUUAUUUAUUUAGUAUACUAUAUUUUUGUAUCUAA